GUUCGACUAUCCUGAACCCAAUGGUACUGACAGAUUUGGGUUCUGAUGCACGGUUUUCGAGAAAAAGGGUUUUAUUGGAUUUAUAUAUAUAGGUGUGGUUUUUGGAGAUUGGAGGGUGGAUAAGUUACGUCGCAAAUCGGCAACCAAAUUAGAUGAAACAAAAUGGUAGAUUUGAUGCCCCAAUCGUGCUGAACGGGCUGGCGCGAUCCGAUAGGAAAUCCGACGGACGGAUCUCCGGGAAUUUCGAAAAGUUCGCUGAGGGGUCGAAAUUGGCAAAACGGAAAAAUUACGAAA
This 294-nucleotide long non-coding RNA is filed under the name Ananas comosus (pineapple). Its description in RNAcentral is "long non-coding RNA (ACOM_LNC008809)". Lineage: Eukaryota; Viridiplantae; Streptophyta; Magnoliopsida; Poales; Bromeliaceae. The record is from RNAcentral.